Small RNA from Mycobacterium sp., 292 nucleotides. It matches the Rfam family "5' ureB small RNA". NCBI's taxonomy places the organism in Bacteria, Bacillati, Actinomycetota, Actinomycetes, Mycobacteriales, Mycobacteriaceae. The record is from Rfam.
CCUCCAUGAUCUGCGGGCAGAUCAGGUGCACGUGGCAGUCGAUGGCGCCGGCGGUGACGAUCCGGCCGUUCCCGGCGAUGAUCUCGGUGGACGGACCGACCACCAGGUCGGGGUGCACGCCGGACAUGAUGUCGGGGUUGCCCGCCUUGCCGAUCGCCACGAUGCGCCCGUCGCGGAUUCCGAUAUCGGCCUUGAUGAUUCCCCAGUAGUCGAGAAUGACCGCUCCGGUGAUGACGGUGUCCGGCGAACCGUCGGCCCGGGUUGCCCGGCUCUGGCCCAUCGAUUCGCGCAG